AGGAUGAACGCUAGCGGCAAGCUUAAUACAUGCAAGUCGAGGGGUAACAUGGGUAGCAAUACCUGAUGACGACCGGCAAACGGGUGCGGAACACGUACGCAACCUUCCCAAAACUGGUGAAUAGCCUUUCGAAAGAGAGAUUAAUACACCGUAACAUAACGAAAAGGCAUCUUUUUGUUAUUAUAGUAGCAAUACGGUUUUGGAUGGGCGUGCGCCUGAUUAGCUAGUUGGCGGGGUAACGGCCCACCAAGGCGACGAUCAGUA
This 264-nucleotide ribosomal RNA is filed under the name uncultured bacterium. RNAcentral describes it as "partial small subunit ribosomal RNA". It matches the Rfam family "Bacterial small subunit ribosomal RNA", at positions 26 to 285 of the family's 1533-position model. The record is from RNAcentral.